Molecule: long non-coding RNA, 413 nt
Filed under: Rattus norvegicus (Norway rat)
Lineage: Eukaryota; Metazoa; Chordata; Mammalia; Rodentia; Muridae
Description: long non-coding RNA NONRATT012042
Source: RNAcentral
UAUGUCUGCCUGGCCAGUUAGUUUCCGCUGUGCGACGGCCUAUCUGCUUGACCCACGUGGCAUACUGAGGUUGGUCAGCGCCAGGUUGGGCGCGACAACUGGUGGUCUGUACGGGGGAAACAACAUCAAAUCCACCGAAAAGAAAAUCAACUCUCUCCGGGAUCAGAACUUUUCGCAGUCAGGGUGGUGCUGGACUGACAAGAUCCACUGUGGGUCCCUGAGAGAUUGACCAGGAGGUGUAACAAGAAUGAAGACCCUGCUGCUGCUGACGCUUCUCAGCAUAACCCAAGUACUGAUCCAGAUGGAGCCCUGAUGGGGGAUACUAUCGGUGUUCCCGAGACCCAUGCCGAUACGCCAUGAUGCUAAGUUGUUCCCUCGCCUUUUUGGCACCAAUAAAACUCUUGAUGCACCCU